CAAGACAGAACCGAAGCCAGAACUCAGGCUCCUGAGUCACAGCUGACAGAGCUUUCCAUUUUAACUCUCCAUGUUUGUAGAUAUUUGGAUUUCUUUGGGAACAAAGACACUAUGUGAAUAGCUGCCAGCCCACGUACUUGGAGCUGCAUGAGGGCAGGGAUCACAUCUGUUACCUUUGUUUCUCCCACAGUGCUUCAUACAAUAUAAUAUGUAUGGCAGGCCUGUGCCGGAGGCCAUUGUGGGAGACUCUGAGAAGCCAGCUGGUGGGCAAGUCAGGAGGAUGUUCAGCAUCUUUAAAGGCUUCUUCUGGGGACUUCUUUUUAAUUCAAACCAGGGAAGUGUUCCAGGCUUUGCUUCCUACCUUCUGUGUCACACCCUCCCCCCCACCCCCCUACCUAGUUUUCCUGGUUUCAUCCUGUGUCUUCACACAGAAAUUAACCUUGUCAUGCUCAACCAAAAGAAAAUCUACUUAGAAGAACAGUGGGGGAUCAAAGAACAAAGGAAACUGGGACCAAAGCUUGGAAAAAGACAGGAGUUAGAACUGUAGUGGUCUGGGCAUCAGGAACCACAGCGGCUGCCAUGCCACAGGAAGAGCUUGGUUACGGGCUGCCACCAUAGUUGUGUCUCUUCCAUCCUUGAGCACCUGCCAAGUCCAAGCCCA
Long non-coding RNA from Prionailurus viverrinus (fishing cat), 661 nucleotides. RefSeq lists it as uncharacterized. Lineage: Eukaryota; Metazoa; Chordata; Mammalia; Carnivora; Felidae. The record is from RefSeq and is a predicted model, not a curated record. The transcript is spliced from 3 exons.